GUUUGCUUGGAAGCAGCAAUUCAUUUAAAGAGUGCGUAACAGCUCACUGGUCGAGCGACAGAGCAUCGAUAAUAAACGGGCAUCAAGAAUAGUACCGAAGCUUUAGAUUUAUACUUUAGAAGUAUAAGUGGUAGGGGAGCAUUCUAAGGUCGGUGAAGGCGGGACGCGAGUCCUGCUGGAGAGCUUAGAAAAGCAAAUGUAGGAAUAAGUAACGAUAAAGCAGGUGAGAAUCCUGCUCACCGAUAGACUAAGGUUUCCUGAUCAACGUUCGUCGGAUCAGGGUUAGUCGGGACCUAAGGCGAACCCAUCGUAGUGGUGGGGCAGUCGAUGGACAACUGGUUAAUAUUCCAGUACUAAUGUAUACUGCUAUGGAGAGACGGAGUAGUGACAAGUUCGCGUGGUGACGGAAUACCACGUUAAAGCCAGUAGAUAUAUUUUGAGUAGGCAAAUCCGCUCGAAAUGUCGAAGGUGAUAGUACAACAAAGCUUCGGCCGCGUUGAUAGUAACUGUAAUCAGACUUCCAAGAAAAUCUUCUAUGCUUCAGGUAUACAUGACCCGUACCGCAAACCGACACAGGUAGUCAAGGAGAGAAUCCUGAGGUGCGCGAGUGAUUCACGGCUAAGGAACUCGGCAAAUUAACCCUGUAACUUCGGGAGAAGGGGUGCUUCCUCUAGCGAUAGAGAAGCCGCAGUGAAAAGUCUCAGGCGACUGUUUAACAAAAACACAUGGCUCUGCGAAAUCGAAAGAUAAAGUAUAGGGCCUGACACCUGCCCGGUGCCGGAAGGUUAAGAGGGGGGCUUAGCAGCAAUGCGACGGUCUGAAUCGAAGCCCCGGUAAACGGCGGCCGUAACUAUAACGGUCCUAAGGUAGCGAAAUUCCUUGUCGGGUAAGUUCCGACCUGCACGAAUGGUGUAACGAUCUGAGAACUGUCUCAGCCGUGAGCUCGGUGAAAUUGUAGUAGCGGUGAAGAUGCCGCUUACCCGUCACGGGACGGAAAGACCCCGUGCACCUUUACUAUAGCUUUGCAUUGAUUUUGGGUAAAUGAUGUGUAGGAUAGGUGGGAGGCUUUGAAGCGGGUACGCUAGUAUUCGUGGAGCCAACGUUGAAAUACCACCCUUUAUUUACUUGGAGUCUAACCCCCGAAUGGGGAAACAGUGCAUGGUGGGUAGUUUGACUGGGGUGGUCGCCUCCAAAAAAGUAUCGGAGGCUUCUAAAGGUUCCCUCAGUACGCUUGGUAACCGUACGUAGAGUGCAAUGGCAUAAGGGAGCUUGACUGAGAGACAUACAGGUCGAUCAGG
RNAcentral lists this ribosomal RNA (1298 nucleotides) under activated sludge metagenome. Its description in RNAcentral is "bacterial LSU rRNA". It matches the Rfam family "Bacterial large subunit ribosomal RNA", at positions 1100 to 2397 of the family's 2925-position model. The record is from RNAcentral.